RNAcentral lists this ribosomal RNA (440 nucleotides) under uncultured bacterium. Its description in RNAcentral is "bacterial SSU rRNA". It matches the Rfam family "Bacterial small subunit ribosomal RNA", at positions 338 to 795 of the family's 1533-position model. The record is from RNAcentral.
CCUACGGGUCGCAGCAGUGGGGAAUAUUGCACAAUGGGCGCAAGCCUGAUCCAGCCAUGCCGCGUGAGUGAAGAAGGCCUUAGGGUUGUAAAGCUCUUUCACCGGUGAAGAUAAUGACGGUAACCGGAGAAGAAGCCCCGGCUAACUUCGUGCCAGCAGCCGCGGUAAUACGAAGGGGGCUAGCGUUGUUCGGAAUUACUGGGCGUAAAGCGCGCGUAGGCGGAUAGAUAAGUCAGAGGUGAAAUCCCGGGGCUCAACCCCGGAAUUGCCUCUGAUACUGUUUAUCUUGAGUGCAGAAGAGGUAAGUGGAAUUCCGAGUGUAGAGGUGAAAUUCGUAGAUAUUCGGAGGAACACCAGUGGCGAAGGCGGCUUACUGGUCUACAACUGACGCUGAGGCGCGAAAGCGUGGGGAGCAAACAGGAUUAGAUACCCCUGUAGUC